UCUCUCUUUGUUCGGUCAUGGCCAUGGGGACCUAGGCCGACAGCCAAUGGCAGCGCCCGAUGCCAACUGAGACGCAACCCCAGCAGCGGUCAUAACCACCGGUGGUCGGGAAAACAAAAGAAGGAAUCAAGGGAACAGGGAAGACCCUAUUCACAAUACACUUGGUGGCUCAUCGAUCAGAUCUGGUGACGAUGAUGUUAGAAAAAGGAGG
RNAcentral lists this long non-coding RNA (211 nucleotides) under Elaeis guineensis (African oil palm). RNAcentral describes it as "long non-coding RNA (EGUI_LNC003187)". Lineage: Eukaryota; Viridiplantae; Streptophyta; Magnoliopsida; Arecales; Arecaceae. The record is from RNAcentral.